RNAcentral lists this ribosomal RNA (253 nucleotides) under uncultured prokaryote. RNAcentral describes it as "partial 16S ribosomal RNA". It matches the Rfam family "Bacterial small subunit ribosomal RNA", at positions 524 to 776 of the family's 1533-position model. The record is from RNAcentral.
UACAGAGGGUGCAAGCGUUGUUCGGAAUUAUUGGGCGUAAAGGGUGCGUAGGCGGUGCGGUAAGUCUCUUGUGAAAUCUCCAGGCUCAACCUGGAGCCUGCAAGGGAAACUGCCGUGCUUGAGUGUGGGAGAGGUGAGUGGAAUUCCCGGUGUAGCGGUGAAAUGCGUAGAUAUCGGAAGGAACGCCGGUGGCGAAAGCGAGUCGCUGGAUCUCUUCUGACGCUGAUGCGCGAAAGCCAGGGGAGCAAACGGG